AGCGAACGCUGGCGGCAGGCUUAACACAUGCAAGUCGAACGGGCAUAGCAAUAUGUCAGUGGCAGACGGGUGAGUAACGCGUGGGGACGUACCUUUUGGUUCGGAACAACACAGGGAAACUUGUGCUAAUACCGGAUAAGCCCUUACGGGGAAAGAUUUAUCGCCGAAAGAUCGGCCCGCGUCUGAUUAGCUAGUUGGUAGGGUAAUGGCCUACCAAGGCGACGAUCAGUAGCUGGUCUGAGAGGAUGAUCAGCCACAUUGGGACUGAGACACGGCCCAAACUCCUACGGGAGGCAGCAGUGGGGAAUAUUGGACAAUGGGCGAAAGCCUGAUCCAGCCAUGCCGCGUGAGUGAUGAAGGCCCUAGGGUUGUAAAGCUCUUUUGUGCGGGAAGAUAAUGACGGUACCGCAAGAAUAAGCCCCGGCUAACUUCGUG
Molecule: ribosomal RNA, 435 nt
Filed under: uncultured bacterium
Lineage: Bacteria
Description: partial 16S ribosomal RNA
Rfam family: Bacterial small subunit ribosomal RNA
Source: RNAcentral